GGGCCUACUUUCUCAACUGUUAAGAGCAUUGGCAGUAACACUGCCAGGGUUAUGGGUUCGAUUCCCACUGGGCCCA
Non-coding RNA from Merluccius polli (Benguela hake), 76 nucleotides. NCBI's taxonomy places the organism in Eukaryota, Metazoa, Chordata, Actinopteri, Gadiformes, Merlucciidae. The record is from the annotation of a GenBank genome assembly.